This 534-nucleotide long non-coding RNA is filed under the name Olea europaea subsp. europaea. The record is from RNAcentral. Lineage: Eukaryota; Viridiplantae; Streptophyta; Magnoliopsida; Lamiales; Oleaceae.
GUAAAUUUAUCGUUUAGCUGAUGCUAUUUAUCUUUCCCGAUCCAACUUUUAUGCAGAGAUGCAAACCGGGGAAGCAAAACCUUGCACAAAACUUAGCAAAGGAUGGCAUGGGUUGUGUGCUCCUCAUAAAUGCAGCAAUUAUUGUAUUCACCACGAGGGAGCUUACCAUGGCGCUUGUUUAAAAAAUCACCAUAACAAGCAUUAUGGUUGCUACUGCUACUACCGUCAUUGCUAAUCAAUGAACCUUAUAUAAUACGUCGUCCGUUACUACAUAGUUCUAUGUACUUGUUGGAGGUCAAGCCUUGUGCCUGUAUGCAAGUUUGUAGUGUGUUUAUGUUUCCAAUUAUGUUGCAAUCCUCGAUUGCUUUCGUUUAAAUAAAAGCUGCCUGUGUAAGCUCUUGCAGCAAGUGGUGUCAGUUGUGUCCAUCAGUUCGUGUUACUUUGUUGUAUUUGUAUUGCCUAAAUAAUGAAGAUUUUUAAGUUUCUUGUAAUCUGUUUCUUGUUCAAAAUAUAAAGUGGUCGGAUGUGUUAAAG